UGUAAUUUGAGCGGGAUUAUUUUUACUUUUAGGGCGCCAUAUAUUAUCUAUAAUUAACUCACAUAACUGGCCUCUUCCGUAAUUAGGGUUUUCCAUCAAAUGAAUCGAAGAACUGGAACUUUGCAGAAGUUGCUACUGCAGGAUUGAGGUUCUGUUUGUGCUUUUGACAGGUGUUCAAGCAAGAGGGUUCAUAUUUGGUCCUCCUAUUGCAUUGGCUCUUGGCGAGAAAUUUGUUCCCAUCAGAAAACCCAACAGCGGCUCCAAUGGCAGGACUGCUAAUUGUGUGUUAUAGAAAGAAGAAGCCAAAACAUGGGCUAACUUAAUAUGCUAUUAUUAAUAAAGGAAAAGUGUACGGGUUAGGCAAUGAUAGUGACACGUGUGUACAUAGCAGAGAAGACCCUGAGAUUGAAAAGUUGAACUUAGUUAUCAAGGAGCUCGUUAAGGAAAAAGAUGAAGAAAAAGAUGAAGAAAAAGAAACGUUCAAUGGAAUUAUUGCGGCGUUGUUGGCUGACAAAGAAAAAGAUAAGGGGGAUAAAGAUGCGUUGCUUGAUAGGAUGUCACAAAUUGAAGCUAUGUUAACAACUGCAGUUCGAAGAUAGGCUAUAAACACUUGGUUUUGAAUGUUUAUAUGUUUAAUCUUAUUAGGAUAAUUUUAGUUAGUUUAUAUUUUAGUUGGUAUUUUUUAUAUGCUUUUGAAAACAAGAUAUUUUAUAUAAUUUUGGGAUUUUAUUAGACUUUUUUUUAUAUUAUUUGUAGUUUUAUUGAUAUGUAAUUUUGAUGAAAAUAGCAGGGAGAAAAGAAAUCUGAAUUUA
This 812-nucleotide long non-coding RNA is filed under the name Helianthus annuus (common sunflower). RNAcentral's name for it is "hypothetical non coding rna". Lineage: Eukaryota; Viridiplantae; Streptophyta; Magnoliopsida; Asterales; Asteraceae. The record is from RNAcentral.